AGAGGGAUAGCUGGGUCAAAUGAUGAUUCCAUUCUCAGUUUUCCAAGGAAUCUUCAUACUGCUUUCCAUAUUGGGUGCACCAAUUUGUAGUCCCAUCAGCAAU
This 103-nucleotide microRNA precursor is filed under the name Marmota monax (woodchuck). Lineage: Eukaryota; Metazoa; Chordata; Mammalia; Rodentia; Sciuridae. The record is from RNAcentral.